ACACUCUCACCUAUCUUGGUAUUAUAUAUUCAUGUGAAGCUUUAUCAACCUCACACUCCUACAACACUCUCACAUCUCCUACAACACAUCUUCAGAACGUCAAUUUCAAACUAUGAAGAACGAAGCCAAAAGAUCAAUUAAACCUUCAAAUUGAACAUUAGAAUACUCAUUACAAUUAUUACAAUUGGGUUUUGCAUUGUUCUUUGGCUAUAAACUUGGCAAGGAAUCUGAAACGUCAAGUGGACACGCCGGAGGGGAUACACGUGGAAAAGGAGUGUUUUAGAGGUGAUGUUGGAACGAACCGGAAGAUGAUCGAGCUAGCUCUUGAAAAACCGAACACUAUUUACAAGCUUCCGUAAUGUUUUAAACUUUAAUAGAUUAUGUUUAUGGGUUGUAAACAAAUUGUUAAACAACUUUUGGAUGUUUUAACUUAGUCGUUAGUCGACUAAGGUCUUUGCUACUA
Molecule: long non-coding RNA, 463 nt
Organism: Helianthus annuus (common sunflower)
Lineage: Eukaryota; Viridiplantae; Streptophyta; Magnoliopsida; Asterales; Asteraceae
Exons: 4
Source: RefSeq, a predicted model, not a curated record